UGGAGUCAGAAGGUGCCUCUAGAGAUGAUCACCUUUGCACUCAGCAUUCACAGCACAAAUCUACUUUCUGCAGUCAGGUGAAAAAAAAGUGGAAUGGAAGGAAACGGCCAUCAUCUGGAGUCAGAAGGUGCCUCUAGAGAUGAUCACCACUGCACCCAGCAUUCACAGCACGAGUCUACUUUCUCCAGUCAGAUAUGUCUCUGAUGCUCCACCAUCACUGCUGGUUUGGGAUUUACUUUUGAGCUGCUUCCUCUUAACAAUAUAAGUAGAGUCAAAUGACUCAUUUUCUGUUUCUAAAUGACAUGAAAUUUUAAACUUUCAAGGGACGGUGAGGCAGCAGACUGGAAAAUUGGGUUAAAUGAACUAAGAAUAUAUGAAAGGUACAUUAUUAUAUAUAGAUUAUUUGAAUAUAAAUGAUAUUAUUAUUUGAUGGCUGCUGAUGAGGCUGCAUAUAAUGCUGGUGUAGCAUCGGCCCAAACAAGGACUGAACCCCUUUUGUACUUUUUAGCAGCCCGAAGCGUUACUACUGCACCCCCCACCCCCCAGAGGCGCAGGUGUAGCAGCAUUGACUGAUCCCUUACAAAAUCUGUCCUCCUCUUCACUUUUUACAAAGACUUAUAGGCUAUAAGUUCAUACAUUACAGUAACUCACUAUGCAAAUACUUUUUAUCAUGGUUAUAAAUCAUAUAGAGAUCUCAUAAGGUACUAAUCUUACACCCCAUCAUCCCCCAUGCUUUUCAUCAUAACAAUGUAUUUGUCCUUUUCUGAUGUGGAAAACAAUCUACAGGUGAACG
Long non-coding RNA from Colossoma macropomum (tambaqui), 793 nucleotides. RefSeq lists it as uncharacterized. Lineage: Eukaryota; Metazoa; Chordata; Actinopteri; Characiformes; Serrasalmidae. The transcript has 3 exons. The record is from RefSeq and is a predicted model, not a curated record.